This is a ribosomal RNA of 297 nucleotides. It matches the Rfam family "Bacterial large subunit ribosomal RNA", at positions 849 to 1142 of the family's 2925-position model.
CUGGUUCUCUCCGAAAUAGCUUUAGGGCUAGCGUCGACAUAAAGAUUCUUGGAGGUAGAGCACUGUUUGGGUGAGGGGUCCAUCCCGGAUUACCAAUCUCAGAUAAACUCCGAAUGCCAAAGAAUUAUGGUCGGCAGUCAGACUGCGAGUGCUAAGAUCCGUAGUCGAAAGGGAAACAGCCCAGACCACCAGCUAAGGUCCCAAAAUAAUUGUUAAGUGGAAAAGGAUGUGGGGUUGCACAGACAACUAGGAUGUUAGCUUAGAAGCAGCUAUUCAUUCAAAGAGUGCGUAAUAGCU